AGUCAAGCGAGCGAAGGCAUGUGGAGGAUGCCUGGGCACACGGAGGCGAGGAAGGCCGUGGUAAGCUGCGAUAAGCCAGGGGGAGCGGCACACACGCUUUGAUCCCUGGAUGGCCGAAUGGGGAAACCCGGCCGCCAGUAAUGGCGGUCACUCGUUUCGACGAGAGCAAACCUGGGGAACUGAAACAUCUAAGUACCCAGAGGAAGAGAAAUCAACUGAGAUGCCCCUAGUAGCGGCGAGCGAAAAGGGCGGAGCCCAAACCAGUCUCCUUCGUGGGACUGGGGUUGUAGGACCCACAGACGCGUACACUGAAGUAAGCCGAAGUCCCCUGGAACGGGGCGCCAGAGCUGGUGAGAGCCCGGUAGGCGAAUACGAUGUAGUGUGCGUAGUGGAGUUCCUGAGUAACGCCCGACACGAGAAAUCGGGCGUGAAACUGGGGGGACCACCCUCCAAGGCUAAAGACUCCCGUGUGACCGAUAGUGGACGAGUACCGUGAGGGACAGGUGAAAAGCACCCCAGUGCGGGGAGUGAAAGAGAUCCUGAAACCACAUGCCUACAAGCGGUAGGAGGUUGGCGGUUGCCCUCGGGUGACCGUACGACUGACUGCGUGCCUUUUGCAUUAUGAUCCGGCGAGUUGCUGCUUGAGUGCGAGGCUAAGCCGUUCUGCGGCGGAGCCAUAGCGAAAGCGAGUCCUGUAACGAGGGCGUUAGAGUACUUGGGCGCAGACCCGAAGCCAGGGCGAUCUACCCAUGAGCAGGGUGAAGGUGGGGUAACACCCACUGGAGGCCCGAACCGGUGUGGGUUGAAAACCGCUCGGAUGACUUGUGGGUAGGGGUGAAAGGCCAAUCAAGCCUGGAGAUAGCUGGUUCUCCCCGAAAUCUAUUGAGGUAGAGCCUCGAGGCAUGUCAGCAGGAGGUAGAGCGACUGGAUGGGCGCGGGUGCCGACAAGGCAUACCAACUCCAACCAAACUCCGAAUGCCUGACUGAUGGACCUCGGGAGGCAGUCGUUGAGCGAUAAUGUCCAACGGCGAGAGGGAAAGAACCCAGAGCCACCGCUAAGGCCCCGAAGUGGCCGCUGAGUAUAGCGAAGGAUGUUUAUCUGCUGUGACAACUGGGAGGUUGGCUUAGAAGCAGCCAUUCCUUUAAAGAGUGCGUAAUAGCUCACCAGUCCAGCGGGUAGGCGCCGAGAAUGGUCGGGAUUAAGCGGCCCGCCGAAGCGUGGCCUUGAGACUCAGGUCUCAGGGGUAGGGGAGCGUUCCCCGUGCUGUGAAGCCCCGGUGGAAACCAAGGGGUGGAGCGAGGGGAAGUGAGGAUGCCGGAAUGAGUACGCGCAAAUCGGGGUGAAAACCCCCGACACCGUAAGCCCAAGGAUUCCUGCGCCAUGGCAAUCAGCGCAGGGUGAGGCGGACCCUAAGGCGAGGCCCCAGAGGCGUAGUCGAUGGACAGCCGGCGAAGAUUCCGGCCCCGCCGUACGAGCGUUUGACCGAAGCAGGGACACUGGAACGAUAUGGGAGCGGCUUUGUGGAUGGCCGUCUAAAGACGUAGGCGAAAGCCGAGAUCUGAAUGCGAGUUGCGCCCUUCGGGGCAAUUCAAGUCCUGUGGAGUCUGCAGUCUAGAAAAGCUGUCUUCGGGAGUUCGAACGGCGUCCGUACCGUAAACCGACACAGGUGGGCGAGGCGAGUAGCCUAAGGUGAACGAGUGAAACGUGGUCAAGGAACUCGGCAUAAUGAUCCCGUAACUUCGGAAUAAGGGAUGCCUGGAAUGGUAGCUGGCCUCGCGCCAGUCGCUGUCCCAGGCCGCAGUGAAUCGGCCCAAGCGACUGUUUAGCAAAAACACAGGUGUGUGCCAAGCCGCACAAGGCGCUGUAUACACACUGACGCCUGCCCGGUGCCGGAAGGUUAAGGGGAGGGGUUAGUCACCUUCGGGUGGCGAAGCUCUGAGCCGAAGCCCCGGUAAACGGCGGCCGUAACUAUAACGGUCCUAAGGUAGCGAAAUUCCUUGUCGGGUAAGUUCCGACCUGCACGAAUGGCGUAACGACUUGGGCACUGUCUCGACCACGUGCUCGGCGAAAUUGCAGUCUCGGUGAGGAUUCCGAGUACCCGCGACAGGACAAAAAGACCCCAUGCACCUUUACUGUAGCUUGCCAUUGGUCGUUGCACUUCGCUGUGUAGCAUAGGUGGGAGGCGUUGAUCGCCGGGCGCUAGCUCGGCGGGAGCCAACAGUGAAAUACCACCCUGCGUUGUGCGACGCCCUCACCACGGCUCGCAAACCGAGUCUGGGACCGUGGCAGGUGGGCAGUUUGACUGGGGCGGUCGCCUCCGAAAGAGUAACGGAGGCGCGCGCAUGGUGCCCUCAGCGCGGUCGGUAAUCGCGCGACGAGCGUAACGGUAGAAGGGCGCCUGACGGCGAGAGCGACGGCUCGAGCCGCCACGAAAGUGGGCCGUAGUGAUCCGGUAGCCCGGUGUGGAUCGGCUAUCGCGCAACGGAUAAAAGGUACGCUGGGGAUAACAGGCUUAUCGCGCCCGAGAGUUCACAUCGACGGCGCGGUUUGGCACCUCGAUGUCGGCUUAUCACAUCCUGGGGCUGGAGAAGGUCCCAAGGGUCCGGCUGUUCGCCGGUUAAAGUGGUACAUGAGCUGGGUUCAGAACGUCGUGAGACAGUUCGGUCUGUAUCCGUCGUGGGCGUUGGAGAGUUGAGGGGCGCGGACUCUAGUACGAGAGGACCGAGUCGGACUGCCCGCUCGUGUCCCGGCUGUACCGCCAGGUGCAACGCCGGGUAGCGAUGGCAGGCGGGGAUAACCGCUGAACGCAUCUAAGUGGGAAGCCCCCCCCAAGAUGAACUCUCCCGGAGCUUCGAGCUCCCUAAAGGGCCGUGAGAGACCAUCACGUCGAUAGGCCGCACGUGGACGGGGCGCAAACCCCUCCGAGCGCAGCGGUCCUAAUCGCCCGUGCGGCUUGACUAC
This 2962-nucleotide ribosomal RNA is filed under the name Gemmatimonadaceae bacterium. RNAcentral's name for it is "23S ribosomal RNA". It matches the Rfam family "Bacterial large subunit ribosomal RNA". The record is from RNAcentral. Lineage: Bacteria; Pseudomonadati; Gemmatimonadota; Gemmatimonadia; Gemmatimonadales; Gemmatimonadaceae.